Long non-coding RNA from Motacilla alba alba, 478 nucleotides. RefSeq lists it as uncharacterized. The record is from RefSeq and is a predicted model, not a curated record. Lineage: Eukaryota; Metazoa; Chordata; Aves; Passeriformes; Motacillidae. The transcript is spliced from 4 exons.
CUGACUUUGUUACAGUUCUCCAGUGGCCUUCCAGGAGCCGUGCGGCGUUUUGCAAGAGUGAGUUUGCUUUGUGUUUGUGCAGCUCAAGUCCUCAGAAGAGACUCCAGGAAGAAUUAGUGUGGCAGGAGACCACAGUGUCCUCUCUGCCUCCACAGAUGACCAUUUUACUGACACUCUCCUGCACCAGUUUGAGGCCCCUACUUCGGAUCAACUCAUUAUCCCGAAUAAACGAUGUGUCAUUCCCAUUAUUUAUGUUUCACUGCAGCCAAAGUAUCUGGACCUCGUUUUGCAUGCGUCUGGUGACAUCGGGUGCCACCGACACACCCUCGGAGAUGCCGACACUUUAUGUUAGAAGAACACAGUAUGCAAGUGAAUCUGUGCCCAUAUUCCCACAUUUAGAUGGGAAAAAUCCCAAACAGACAUGUGGUAGUAUCAUUUGAAUGGCAUAGAUUCUUAAAUACAUUUGUCACGUUGUACA